GUGCGUUAUAUGGUUAGUAGUCCGAAUGUUCACGAGAUAAACCUUUCACUAAUGCCCGGCGUUUUAUAUGGUAUUCCUUAUUUAUUUGAUAAUGACACUUGACAUUUUUCUAAGUUAUUAAGGUAGAAUACAUGGUUUAGAAAUUCAUGCUUUAAAAGAAGUAAUUGAAAGAUUAUGUAACUUACACCUCUUGGGUUUGAGGUGUUAGAGACGCUUUGGAGCCGGUUAUGAAAUCUCGGAGCGAGGUAAGUCUCCUGUCUAACUUUGUGAGAGGGAAACUACCCCCUAGGUGAUAUUUAUUAUUAUGUGCAACUAGUUGUGGGUGCUACGUACGCACGAGGUGACGAGAGUCCGUACGUAGCUAUAUCAUGUUAUGUCCGGGUAGACUUAGGAUCUCAUUAUGUAAUAUUUGAACCCAUUUUGCUGGCUUAAUUUAUUGAAGUUAUAAUUGAAAUUGAUUUAGAAGUAAAUAUAUGUACACUAGGUCAAGCCUUAACACUUUGAGUUGUGGGCGAGUUAUUUGAGAAACGGUAAGAGUUAUAUUCAUUUUAUGCUUGUGUGCUAUAUUGUAAAAACGUGUCCCGUAAUUCGAUGACUUCCUUACUUUUCUUAUGGAGCGGGCCGAAUGCCUUGGUAGUAUAUAGAUGCAUCUAUGAAUUAUGCCGCACGUUCCUCGGUAGUGUACACAUUAUUCUGGAUCGGCCGAACGACCUCGGCGAAAUCGUGCGUUAUAUCGUUAGUAGUCCGAAUGUUCACGAGAUAGACCAUUCACUAAUGCCCGGCGUUUUAUAUGGUAUUCCUUAUUUAUUUGAUAAUGACACUUGACAUUUUUCUGAGUUAUUAAGGUAGAAUACAUGGUUUAGAAAUUCAUGCUUUAAAAGAAGUAAUUGAAAGAUUAUGUAACUUACACCUCUUGGGUUUGAGGUGUUAGAGACGCUUUGGAG
RNAcentral lists this long non-coding RNA (944 nucleotides) under Nicotiana tabacum (common tobacco). RNAcentral describes it as "long non-coding RNA (NTAB_LNC018566)". The record is from RNAcentral. Lineage: Eukaryota; Viridiplantae; Streptophyta; Magnoliopsida; Solanales; Solanaceae.